GGCUACGGCCAUACCACCCUGAACGCACCCGAUCUCGUCUGAUCUCGGAAGCUAAGCAGGGUCGGGCCUGGUUAGUACUUGGAUGGGAGAUUUGGGUGGGGACACAAAGCCUAACCA
This 117-nucleotide ribosomal RNA is filed under the name Mandrillus leucophaeus (drill). Lineage: Eukaryota; Metazoa; Chordata; Mammalia; Primates; Cercopithecidae. The record is from RNAcentral.